ACGGCUCAGUAACACGUGGCUAACCUGCCCUCGGGACGGAGACAACCCCGGGAAACUGGGGCUAAUCCCCGAUAGGCGAAGAACUCUGGAAUGAGUCUCCGCCCAAAAGACGCUUACGCCAUGCUCGUAGGCGCCGCCCAAGGAUGGGGCCGCGUCCGAUCAGGUUGUUGGUGAGGUAACGGCUCACCAAGCCUUUUACCGGUGCGGGCCGUGAGAGCGGGAGCCCGGAGAUGGGCACUGAGACAAGGGCCCAGGCCCUACGGGGCGCAGCAGUCGCGAAAACUUUGCAAUACACGAAAGUGUGACAGGGCUAUCCCGAGUGCCAUCCGCUGAGGAAGGCUUUUACCCAGUAUAGACAGCUGGGGGAAUAAGGAGAGGGCAAGACUGGUGUCAGCCGCCGCGGUAAUACCAGCUCUCCGAGUGGUGUGGAUGUUUACUGGGCCUAAAGCAUCCGUAGCUGGCUGGGCAAGUCCCCUGUUAAAUCCACCGAUUUAAUCGUUGGUUUGCGGGGGAUACUGUUCGGCUAGGGGACGGGAGAGGCCGACGGUAUUUUCGGGGUAGGGGUGAAAUCCUAUAAUCCCGGGAAGACCACCAGUGGCGAAGGCUGUCGGCUAGAACGCGCCCGACGGUGAGGGAUGAAAGCUGGGGGAGCGAACCGGAUUAGAUACCCGGGUAGUCCCAGCUGUAAACGAUGCAGGCUAGGCGUUUGGGUGGCUACGUGCCACUCUAGUGCCGCAAGGAAGCUGUUAAGCCUGCCGCCUGGGGAGUACGGUCGCAAGGCUGAAACUUAAAGGAAUUGGCG
Molecule: ribosomal RNA, 802 nt
Filed under: uncultured archaeon
Lineage: Archaea
Description: bacterial SSU rRNA
Rfam family: Archaeal small subunit ribosomal RNA
Source: RNAcentral